AAUGAAUCACCUCGUGAAGCUUCUUUUCUGUCCUAGACCAGUUAGAAAAAGUGCGCGUUGCUUUAAAACAAAAUUAUAAAAUAAAAAUUGGCUGUUAAAAUCAAGUGAUAAGACAAACGGAGAUAAAAUCAAUAAUUUACGUGCUAUUAGUACGCUAAUUGAUGAGAAGAAAAAAAAAACAAGUGUAAAAUAGUACAGAGAAUCAAAUAAGAAAAGGU
This is a long non-coding RNA of Armigeres subalbatus, 218 nucleotides long. RefSeq lists it as uncharacterized. Lineage: Eukaryota; Metazoa; Arthropoda; Insecta; Diptera; Culicidae. The record is from RefSeq and is a predicted model, not a curated record. The transcript is spliced from 3 exons.